UGGGGAGCAGAUUGAGCAGCUUGUGAUUAAAAAGGAGAUUGGAACUCGUAUCAAAGAUGUCGUUUUGGAUGGUCCUGGGCCGGUAUUAGUUGCAAUAGAUAUUGACGGUGGCAAAAGUAUGUAUUACGUGUUUGCAGAACGGACGAGGCUAUCCGAAGGUACUACGGACAUUGUCACAGCUUUGCAAGACGUCAUGACUGUACACUUUGUUCACAAUUUCAUGUAUAUGAAAUGUGUUUCAAAAUUCCUCGAGCUUAUUCAGGAGUACUUUUUGAAAAUUAUUACGCUCUCCGGAUCAAAAUCGAAUGCCGUUCGAGUUGGCCAACGACAACGUGUCGUGAAAAAGGUCAUAACUGCAUUGUCUAAUCAUCGAAUUCCACAAGCUGAACCGUUAAAUAUUUUAUAAUAAUGAUUUGAUGACUGAUUCUGUAGAU
Long non-coding RNA from Ochlerotatus camptorhynchus, 434 nucleotides. RefSeq lists it as uncharacterized. The transcript is spliced from 3 exons. The record is from RefSeq and is a predicted model, not a curated record. NCBI's taxonomy places the organism in Eukaryota, Metazoa, Arthropoda, Insecta, Diptera, Culicidae.